CGCUCCUUCAUCUGUCCUGCAGAAGGUUGUGGGAAAAGCUUCUAUGUGCUGCAGAGGCUGAAGGUGCACAUGAGGACCCACAAUGGAGAGAAGCCCUUUAUGUGCCAUGAGUCUGGCUGUGGUAAGCAGUUUACUACAGCUGGAAACCUGAAGAACCACCGGCGCAUCCACACAGGAGAGAAACCUUUCCUUUGUGAAGCCCAAGGAUGUGGCCGUUCCUUUGCUGAGUAUUCUAGCCUCCGAAAACAUCUGGUGGUUCACUCAGGAGAGAAGCCUCAUCAGUGCCAAGUCUGUGGGAAGACCUUCUCUCAGAGUGGAAGCAGGAAUGUGCAUAUGAGAAAGCAUCACCUGCAGCUGGGAGCAGCUGGGAGUCAAGAGCAGGAGCAAACUGGUGAGGAGGGUGAGCAUAGUGGAAGGCUAUACUACUUCUAGGGUUCCACGAGCCAAAUCACUGUCCUGCCUGCUUAUCUGGAAAUUUUCUGAUUCUGUUUUGGGUAGAUAGACCUGGUCUCAUUUGAUGGGCUGAUGGUUUCCAAACAUAGCUAUACAGUAGAAUCAUCUGCAACCUUUUAAAAUUUAUAUACUUUUUGUUGCUUGUCCCCCCACCAAUAAA
RNAcentral lists this small RNA (613 nucleotides) under Pan troglodytes (chimpanzee). RNAcentral describes it as "retained intron". The record is from RNAcentral. Lineage: Eukaryota; Metazoa; Chordata; Mammalia; Primates; Hominidae.